AGAGUUUGAUCAUGGCUCAGAUUGAACGCUGGCGGCAGGCUUAACACAUGCAAGUCGAGCGGGGAUUGGGUGCUUGCACCUAAUCUUAGCGGCGGACGGGUGAGUAAUGCUUAGGAAUCUGCCUAUUAGUGGGGGACAACAUUCCGAAAGGAAUGCUAAUACCGCAUACGUCCUACGGGAGAAAGCAGGGGAUCUUCGGACCUUGCGCUAAAUGAUGAGCCUAAGUCGGAUUAGCUAGUUGGUGGGGUAAAGGCCUACCAAGGCGACGAUCUGUAGCGGGUCUGAGAGGAUGAUCCGCCACACUGGGACUGAGACACGGCCCAGACUCCUACGGGAGGCAGCAGUGGGGAAUAUUGGACAAUGGGGGGAACCCUGAUCCAGCCAUGCCGCGUGUGUGAAGAAGGCCUUUUGGUUGUAAAGCACUUUAAGCGAGGAGGAGGCUACCUGGAUUAAUACUCUAGGAUAGUGGACGUUACUCGCAGAAUAAGCACCGGCUAACUCUGUGCCAGCAGCCGCGGUAAUACAGAGGGUGCGAGCGUUAAUCGGAUUUACUGGGCGUAAAGCGUGCGUAGGCGGCUGAUUAAGUCGGAUGUGAAAUCCCUGAGCUUAACUUAGGAAUUGCAUUCGAUACUGGUCAGCUAGAGUAUGGGAGAGGAUGGUAGAAUUCCAGGUGUAGCGGUGAAAUGCGUAGAGAUCUGGAGGAAUACCGAUGGCGAAGGCAGCCAUCUGGCCU
This 733-nucleotide ribosomal RNA is filed under the name Acinetobacter parvus. RNAcentral describes it as "bacterial SSU rRNA". It matches the Rfam family "Bacterial small subunit ribosomal RNA", at positions 8 to 735 of the family's 1533-position model. Lineage: Bacteria; Pseudomonadati; Pseudomonadota; Gammaproteobacteria; Moraxellales; Moraxellaceae. The record is from RNAcentral.